UGGGGAAUUUUGGACAAUGGGCGAAAGCCUGAUCCAGCAAUGCCGCGUGUGUGAAGAAGGCCUUCGGGUUGUAAAGCACUUUUGUCCGGAAAGAAAUGGCUCUGGUUAAUACCUGGGGUCGAUGACGGUACCGGAAGAAUAAGGACCGGCUAACUACGUGCCAGCAGCCGCGGUAAUACGUAGGGUCCAAGCGUUAAUCGGAAUUACUGGGCGUAAAGCGUGCGCAGGCGGUUGUGCAAGACCGAUGUGAAAUUACCGAGCUUAACUUGGGAAUUGCAUUGGUGACUGCACGGCUAGAGUGUGUCAGAGGGGGGUAGAAUUCCACGUGUAGCAGUGAAAUGCGUAGAGAUGUGGAGGGAUACCGAUGGCGAAGGCAGCCCCCUGGGAUAACACUGACGCUCAUGCACGAAAGCGUGGGGAGCAAACAGG
This 429-nucleotide ribosomal RNA is filed under the name bacterium. Its description in RNAcentral is "partial 16S ribosomal RNA". It matches the Rfam family "Bacterial small subunit ribosomal RNA", at positions 355 to 776 of the family's 1533-position model. The record is from RNAcentral.